AGGAAGAAUAGCCCCAGUGGCGGGGCCAGCUCUGGAGCCCUGGAGUCAGCCCCUUCAGUAACCACAGAGCUCUCCGUCUGCAGGGCUUGUUGGCUCCGGGCGGGG
RNAcentral lists this microRNA precursor (105 nucleotides) under Canis lupus familiaris (dog). RNAcentral describes it as "mir-8834 microRNA precursor family". It matches the Rfam family "mir-8834 microRNA precursor family". Lineage: Eukaryota; Metazoa; Chordata; Mammalia; Carnivora; Canidae. The record is from Rfam by way of RNAcentral.